RNAcentral lists this ribosomal RNA (912 nucleotides) under uncultured bacterium. RNAcentral describes it as "bacterial SSU rRNA". It matches the Rfam family "Bacterial small subunit ribosomal RNA", at positions 9 to 955 of the family's 1533-position model. The record is from RNAcentral.
UAGUUUGAUCCUGGCUCAGGAUGAACGCUGGCGGCGUGCCUAAUACAUGCAAGUCGAGCGGUAAGGCCCCUUCGGGGGUACACGAGCGGCGGACGGCUGAGUAACACGUAGGAACAUACCCCAAAGUGAGGGAUAACUGCUCGAAAGAGUAGCUAAUACCGCAUGUGCUCUAAGGAGUAAAGCUUCGGCGCUUUGGGAAUGGCCUGCGUAAGAUUAGCUUGUUGGUGAGGUAAUAGCUCACCAAGGCGACGAUCUUUAGCUGGUCUGAGAGGAUGAUCAGCCAGACUGGGACUGAGACACGGCCCAGACUCCUACGGGAGGCAGCAGUAGGGAAUUUUCCACAAUGGGCGAAAGCCUGAUGGAGCAACGCCGCAUGCAGGAUGAAGGCUCUUGGGUCGUAAACUGCUUUUAUAUGUGAAGAUUAUGACGGUAGCAUAUGAAUAAGGAUCGGCUAACUCCGUGCCAGCAGCCGCGGUCAUACGGAGGAUCCAAGCGUUAUCCGGAAUUACUGGGCGUAAAGAGUUGCGUAGGCGGCAUAGCAAGUAGGGCGUGAAAGAGUGUGGCUCAACCAUAUAAACAUGUCCUAAACUGCUAAGCUAGAAUCUAGAAGAGGUCACUGGAAUUCCUUGUGUAGGAGUGAAAUCCGUAGAUAUAAGGAGGAACACCGAUGGCGUAGGCAGGUGACUGGUCUAGUAUUGACGCUAAGGCACGAAAGCGUGGGUAGCAAACGGGAUUAGAUACCCCGGUAGUCCACGCCGUAAACUAUGGAUGCUAGCUGUUAGAAGUAUCGACCCUUCUAGUAGCGAAGCUAACGCGUUAAGCAUCCCGCCUGUGGAGUACGAGCGCAAGCUUAAAACAUAAAGGAAUUGACGGGGACCCGCACAAGCGGUGGAGCGUGUUGUUUAAUUCGAU